GAGCACCUCUCUCCUCAACCAGUCUGCUUGAGGUUGGUGGGUGGUGGGUAGAGAAGGCUGGUGGGGGGGACCAGAAACCUCUCUCUCGGUGGACUGUUGGGACCACUGUGAAAGGGACCCCAUUUCCUCCUGCUUGUUUCACGCCCACCCAGGCUGUGAGCUCCCUCGGUAGUGACUGUCACCGUGUAAGGACAAGCCUUGGCAUCGCGCCGACUGUGGGGAUGCUUUGCUUUGUAGUUUCCCAAAGACCAGAGGCAGCCUGGACUUUGCCCUCUGACCCUGGUCACUUUGGGGAGGAAGGUGGCCAGGAUGUUAGCUCCAUUUCCUGAAGGAGGAGACGGGUGCUAAGGACCCUCCGUGCUGGAGGCUGGGGAGCGCGGGGUCCGGCCAGGACACCUCUUCCACCCUGCGGGCCAGAGUUGGUACCAGGCCCCCCUGGGAGCACCCUUCGAGCAAGAACUGAGGUUUCCUGCCCUGCUCCUCCCAAGACCAAUCUCUGUGCUUGGUCUGGGGUGCCACAGUCGUCCGCAAGGCUGUCAGACCAGCCCGUCUUCAAGGUGCCGGACGGGUGAGGUGAGGCGUGUGAAUGGUCAUCGUCUCUGCCUGGCCUCGGAGGCACCGGGGGCCCGUCCACUGCCGAGGCUCCUUUGGAAGAGGGCCUGACUGUCUGAAUCACAGGAGCCAGCUCCUGGUCACCAGGGAGCUGGGACAGAAGGGACUUCCCUAGAGCAGAGGCAAGCGUGGUCCUACCACGCCGUGACCCACCUCCCAUGCCUGACACCCGGCUCAGGCCCAGCCCAGGCCGGCCUCUCUCCCCACCCAGACCCCUCACACGUUCCCUGCUCCAUAUUCUCCAGAAACCAUCAUGCAAUCUGCAAAUGUUCCUUGUAUUUCUAAAAAUAAAGACUCG
Molecule: long non-coding RNA, 910 nt
Filed under: Marmota monax (woodchuck)
Lineage: Eukaryota; Metazoa; Chordata; Mammalia; Rodentia; Sciuridae
Source: RNAcentral